AGGAGUUUGAUCAUGGCUCGAGGACGACGCUGGCGGCGUGCUUAACACAUGCAAGUCGAACGGUGACCCAGGGCUUGCCCUGGUGAUCAGUGGCGAACGGGUGAGUAACACGUGGGCAACCUGCCCCUGACUUCGGGAUAACUCCUCGAAAGAGGAGCUAAUACCGGAUACGACCACUUCGGACAUCCGAUGGUGGUGGAAAGUUUUUCGGUCAGGGAUGGGCCCGCGGCCUAUCAGCUAGUUGGUGGGGUAAUGGCCUACCAAGGCGACGACGGGUAGCCGGCCUGAGAGGGCGACCGGCCACACUGGGACUGAGACACGGCCCAGACUCCUACGGGAGGCAGCAGUGGGGAAUACUGCGCAAUGGGCGAAAGCCUGACGCAGCGACGCCGCGUGAGGGAUGAAGGCCUUCGGGUUGUAAACCUCUUUCAGCAGGGACGAAGCGAAAGUGACGGUACCUGCAGAAGAAGCACCGGCUAACUACGUG
RNAcentral lists this ribosomal RNA (487 nucleotides) under uncultured bacterium. Its description in RNAcentral is "bacterial SSU rRNA". It matches the Rfam family "Bacterial small subunit ribosomal RNA", at positions 1 to 507 of the family's 1533-position model. The record is from RNAcentral.